GGAGAGAUGGCUGAGUGGACGAAAGCGGCGGAUUGCUAAUCCGUUGUACGGGAGGGUUCGAAUCCCUCUCUUUCCG
RNAcentral lists this transfer RNA (76 nucleotides) under Telanthophora grandifolia. Its description in RNAcentral is "tRNA-Ser". It matches the Rfam family "tRNA". From Rfam's summary of the family: Transfer RNA (tRNA) molecules are approximately 80 nucleotides in length. The record is from RNAcentral. Lineage: Eukaryota; Viridiplantae; Streptophyta; Magnoliopsida; Asterales; Asteraceae.